Molecule: small nuclear RNA, 311 nt
Filed under: Propithecus coquereli (Coquerel's sifaka)
Lineage: Eukaryota; Metazoa; Chordata; Mammalia; Primates; Indriidae
Description: 7SK RNA (ENSPCOG00000011140.1)
Rfam family: 7SK RNA
About the family: 7SK was discovered as an abundant small nuclear RNA in the mid-70s but a possible function has only recently been suggested.
Source: Rfam by way of RNAcentral
GGAUGUGAGGGCGAUCUGGCUGCGACAUCUGUUACCCCACUGAUAGCCAGGGUUGAUUCGGCUGAUCUGGCUGGCUAGGUGGGUGUCUCCUUCCUCCCUCACUGCUCCAUGCGUGUCCCUCUUGAAGCUGUGCACUCAGACGAAGAGGACGACCUUCCCCAGAGAGGAGGACUAUUCUUUGGUCAAGGGUACACGAGUAGCUGCACUUCCCUGCUAGAACCUCCGAACAGGCUGUCAAAAACCUGCACGUGAUGUUUAUAGCAGCUUUAUUCAUAAUUGCCAAAGCUUGAAAGCAGCCACGAUAUCCUUCA